CACACAGCCUCAAUCCACGGGUGGGGAGCAAAGCCACCACCCCCCACCCAGCCCCCCUGGGUGCAGAAUGAGCCCUGGGAAAGCUCUGAUGGGUGCCUGUGGCCCCAGGAAGGAACAUGGCUCUCUAGCCAGGGGCCAAAGGCACCUGCCCCAACCCCUAGCCUCCAGCGACCAGCUGACGAGGACCUGAAGUGAGCGACGAGGCCCCCACAGGAGCCAGAGAAGGGUGGAAAAGCCAGCUUGUCAGGCACAACUGGGACAGCCACUGCCUGGGACCCUGGGACCCUGAGGCAGAGCCGCAGGUCCAGCCUGGGCCGAUGGUGGGUGGGGGCAAGGCAGGAGUGCACGCCUCUGACUUCCUUCUAGUUCCGACGAGUACCAGGCUGCCCGAGCCACCCUGGUCAGAGCGUUCCAGGCGAAGUUUGACACAUUUGUAGUUCCCUGUGUUGUUGCCAGUGGCGACAUCAAAGACAGGAAGGGGUCAGAACCCCUGAGCUUCAGCCCCCACAACACCCUGUACCUGGAGCUGUGGUGCCCGACGGUGGCACCAUCUGUUGUGGUGACAUCCCAUAAAGGCAAGACCAUCUUUAACUUCGGCGACGUCGCUGUGGGGCACCGCAGUAUCAAGAAGGUCUCCAUCCAGAACGUCUCUCUCGAGGAUCUGACCCUGGACUUCUCCCUGCUGAACCCCAACGGCCCCUUUGUCCUGCUGAACCACUCCAGCCUGCUGCGUGCGGGUGAGACCCAGGUCCUGGUGCUGUCCUUCUCUCCCCACGAGAGCAUCCUGGCUCAAGAAACACUGGACAUCAUCACCAAGAGAGGCACACUCACCCUCACCCUCGUGGGCACUGGCGUGGCGUCCAUGAUCACGUGCUCCAUUGAAGGCAGCGUCCUCAACAUGGGCUAUGUGAUUGCCGGAGAGUCUGUGUCCUCAGGCUUCAAGCUGCAGAACAACUCUCUGCUCCCCAUCAAGUUCUCCAUGCACCUGGAGAGCCUCUCCAGCACCCGGGGCCGGGGCCAGCAGCAGCUGCCGCAGUUCCUCAGCUCGCCCUCCCAGAGGACGGAGGUGGUCGGGACGCAGAAUCUCAAUGGUCAGAGCGUGUUCAGCGUGGCCCCGGUCAAGGGCGUUAUGGACCCCGGGAAGACGCAGGACUUCACUGUCACCUUCAGCCCCGACCACGAGAGCCUCUACUUCUCCGACAGGCUCCAGGUGGUGCUCUUUGAAAAGAAAAUCUCCCACCAGAUCCUGCUGAAGGGUGCCGCCUGUGAGCACAUGAUGUUUGUGGAGGGAGGCGACCCCCUGGACGUGCCCGUGGAGUCUCUGACAGCGAUCCCUGUAUUUGACCCCAGGCACAGAGAGGCCAGCUCCCGGCCAGGCCCUCCCUCUCCAGAAGCUGAGGAGCUGAGGCCCAUCCUGGUGACCCUAGACUACAUCCAGUUUGACACAGACACGCCAGCCCCACCUGCCACCCGAGAGCUGCAGGUGGGCUGUAUCCGGACCACCCAGCCAUCUCCAAAGAAGACUGUUGAGUUCAGCAUGGAUAGCGUCGCAUCCCUGCAGCACAAGGGUUUCUCCAUUGAGCCCUCCAGGGGCUCCGUGGAGCGCGGCCAGACGAAGACCAUCAGCAUCUCCUGGGUGCCACCUGCGGACUUUGAUCCAGACCACCCACUCAUGGUGUCGGCCCUGCUGCAGCUAAGGGGGGAUGUGAAGGAGACCUACAAGGUCAUCUUUGUAGCCCAGGUGGUGACCGGCCCCUAAGCCUCUGCACAGAGCACCCUCGGGCCCUCCUGUCCACCCUCAAAGCCCUCCCCAGGCUGAGGGCCAGGUCAUACUACCCUAGAGCCUGGGACCCGGCCAUCCUCUGCCAGACAGAUUCCAGUAGGCCGCCCUCCACAUGGUGCCACGGCCACUUCCUGCUGCCCUGGACCCCGCAAGCCCAGGGACAUCCAAGAGCACCCCUCCUGAG
RNAcentral lists this small RNA (1967 nucleotides) under Pongo abelii (Sumatran orangutan). RNAcentral's name for it is "retained intron". Lineage: Eukaryota; Metazoa; Chordata; Mammalia; Primates; Hominidae. The record is from RNAcentral.